This is a ribosomal RNA of 327 nucleotides. It matches the Rfam family "Bacterial large subunit ribosomal RNA", at positions 1959 to 2517 of the family's 2925-position model.
GCAUAAUCAUUUGCCUUUUAAUUGGUGGCUAGAAUGAAAGGAUAAACGAGAAUCUAACUGUCUCUCUUUAAUAAAUAAAAAUUAGUUUUUAGGUGAAGAAACCUAAAUAUCAAUUAAAGACAAGAAGACCCUGUAGAGCCUAAUCUUAAGUUAUUAAUAUUUAUAAUAAUAAGAGAUUUAGUUGGGGCGACUAAGGUUCACCCACACAAACCUUUAUAUUAACUAGGCUGCCUCGCCUCAAUAAUGACCCAAUAUUUGAUCAUCGGAACAGGCUACCUCAGGGAUAACAGACUAAUUUCUUUUAAAAGUCCAAAUUAACAAAGAAGA